RNAcentral lists this ribosomal RNA (253 nucleotides) under uncultured bacterium. RNAcentral describes it as "partial 16S ribosomal RNA". It matches the Rfam family "Bacterial small subunit ribosomal RNA", at positions 524 to 776 of the family's 1533-position model. The record is from RNAcentral.
UACGAAGGGUGCAAGCGCUACUCGGAAUUACUGGGCGUAAAGCGUGCGUAGGUGGUUAUUUAAGUCCAUUGUGAAAGCCCUGGGCUCAACCUGGGAACUGCAGUGGAUACUGGAUGACUAGAAUGUGGUAGAGGGUAGCGGAAUUCCUGGUGUAGCAGUGAAAUGCGUAGAGAUCAGGAGGAACAUCCAUGGCGAAGGCAGCUACCUGGACCAACAUUGACACUGAGGCACGAAAGCGUGGGGAGCAAACAGG